UGAGGAAUAUUGGUCAAUGGGGGCAACCCUGAACCAGCCAAGUCGCGUGAAGGAUGAAGGUCUUAUGGAUUGUAAACUUCUUUUAUACAGGAAUAAAUUGGGGGACGUGUCCCCUUUUGCAUGUACUGUAUGAAUAAGGAUCGGCUAACUCCGUGCCAGCAGCCGCGGUAAUACGGAGGAUCCGAGCGUUAUCCGGAUUUAUUGGGUUUAAAGGGUGCGCAGGCGGGAUGUUAAGUCGGCGGUGAAAUUUUGCAGCUCAACUGUAAAAGUGCCUUCGAUACUGGCCUCCUUGAGUGUGGAUGAAGUAGGCGGAAUUUGUGGUGUAGCGGUGAAAUGCUUAGAUAUCAAGAGGAACUCCGAUUGCGCAGGCAGCUUACUAAGCCACAACUGACGCUCAUGCACGAAGGCGUGGGGAUCAAACA
RNAcentral lists this ribosomal RNA (422 nucleotides) under uncultured bacterium. RNAcentral describes it as "bacterial SSU rRNA". It matches the Rfam family "Bacterial small subunit ribosomal RNA", at positions 355 to 774 of the family's 1533-position model. The record is from RNAcentral.